GAUUAUUUUUUUCAAAGUUUGUGUGAGAGAGGAGUAUUCUGUAUGUCGUGUUUAUGAAGUUGAAAAAGAGAAGAAAAUGAGUGUGGGGCAAUCUAUGCGGAAAAGAAAGAAGAGGAAAAAAAAUAAAAAAAUGAAAAAAAGAAAGAAAGAAAGGAGCACAUGGGAGGGAAAAAGAUAAAGAGAAAAAAAAAUUUAAAAUAAGGUCAAAUGUCUCUUUUCCAUUGGUCCAAAAUUUAAUCAAUUUUAAAAUAGGAAAAUGACAAGUGACUUAUGGUGAUUA
This 280-nucleotide long non-coding RNA is filed under the name Lathyrus oleraceus (garden pea). RNAcentral describes it as "Pisum sativum (pea) long non-coding RNA (PSAT_LNC011567)". Lineage: Eukaryota; Viridiplantae; Streptophyta; Magnoliopsida; Fabales; Fabaceae. The record is from RNAcentral.